Long non-coding RNA from Epinephelus lanceolatus (giant grouper), 400 nucleotides. RefSeq lists it as uncharacterized. The record is from RefSeq and is a predicted model, not a curated record. Lineage: Eukaryota; Metazoa; Chordata; Actinopteri; Perciformes; Serranidae.
GUCGGAAGUUAACGUUUCUUUUAAAGAAGAUAGUAGCCACGGUCAACGUAUAUUGCCAGAACUUAAAUGAAUAGUGGGAAGACAUUUCAGUGUCCUCUAGCCGCGGGAUAAUGUUAUAAACCAAACCGCAGAGAGGCUGGUACCUGGACAAGAACAGUGUUUCAGGAUCUCAAGCACAUUUCUGAGAGACAUGCCAACCAUAAAAACAGCAGGACAGCUUGGUAAAAUCUGACAGCGCAUACAAACCGGGACUCGAGCACCGUAACAGCAAACUGAGGAGAACAGAGUAAAACUCACCGCUGGAGCGCCGGACGAUGUUUUCCAGAAAGGUGUUCUGCGGAGCCACCAGUCCUCUCUUGCCCCCAUGCAUUAUGAGUCUCACAGCCGCUCCGUGGUCGUG